This 358-nucleotide ribosomal RNA is filed under the name uncultured bacterium. RNAcentral's name for it is "bacterial SSU rRNA". It matches the Rfam family "Bacterial small subunit ribosomal RNA", at positions 794 to 1157 of the family's 1533-position model. The record is from RNAcentral.
UCCACGCCGUAAACGAUGAUUACUCGUUGUGUGCGAUACACUGUACGCGACUGAGCGAAAGCAUUAAGUAAUCCACCUGGGGAGUACGAUCGCAAGGUUGAAACUCAAAGGAAUUGACGGGGGCCCGCACAAGCGGUGGAACAUGUGGUUUAAUUCGAUGAUACGCGAGGAACCUUACCUGGGCUUAAAUGCAGAACGACAGUUCCCGAAAGGGAAUCUUCUCGGACGGACUGCAAGGUGCUGCAUGGUUGUCGUCAGCUCGUGCCGUGAGGUGUCGGUUAAGUCCCAUAACGAGCGCCAACCCCUAUCGUUAGUUGCCAGCGGAUAAUCGGCCGGGACUCUAACGAGACGUCGCCGG